RNAcentral lists this ribosomal RNA (253 nucleotides) under uncultured bacterium. Its description in RNAcentral is "partial 16S ribosomal RNA". It matches the Rfam family "Bacterial small subunit ribosomal RNA", at positions 524 to 776 of the family's 1533-position model. The record is from RNAcentral.
GACGUAGGGCGCGAGCGUUGUCCGGAUUUAUUGGGCGUAAAGAGCUCGUAGGCGGCUUGUCGCGUCGACUGUGAAAACCCGGGGCUCAACCCCGGGCCUGCAUUCGAUACGGGCAGACUAGAGUUCGGUAGGGGAGUCUGGAAUUCCUGGUGUAGCGGUGAAAUGCGCAGAUAUCAGGAGGAACACCGGUGGCGAAGGCGGGACUCUGGGCCGAUACUGACGCUGAGGAGCGAAAGCGUGGGGAGCAAACAGG